AGUAAGUUUUAUGAUUAAGCUACUAAGGGCGUACGGUGGAUGCCUUGGCGCCAGAAGGCGAAGAAGGACGUGGCAAGCUGCGAUAAGCCUCGGGGAGCCGCAAGCAGGCUUUGAUCCGAGGAUUUCCGAAUGGGGAAACCCGGCGAGAUGAACUCUCGCUACAGCCCGCUGAAUACAUAGGCGGGUAUGAGCCAACCCAGG
RNAcentral lists this ribosomal RNA (201 nucleotides) under Acidobacteriota bacterium. RNAcentral describes it as "Acidobacteria bacterium partial 23S ribosomal RNA". It matches the Rfam family "Bacterial large subunit ribosomal RNA", at positions 1 to 189 of the family's 2925-position model. Lineage: Bacteria; Pseudomonadati; Acidobacteriota. The record is from RNAcentral.